RNAcentral lists this unclassified non-coding RNA (402 nucleotides) under Trichophyton tonsurans. The record is from RNAcentral. Lineage: Eukaryota; Fungi; Ascomycota; Eurotiomycetes; Onygenales; Arthrodermataceae.
UCCGGGGUCGAUCCAGGCGCGCUCUACGGUCGAUUUGGAGGCGAUCGGUGUAUGUACCUCGCCGCCGGCGGACCCCUAUGGACCCUCCAAAAUCGAGUGGUCCCAGGGGGGCCGUUUUCUAGAAAUGGACCCUCUGGCCAAACGGACCCUCUGGCAGGACGGCCCCUCGGGCCAAAUGGUCCCUCUGGACCAGACGGACCCUCUGGGCCAUUUUCACAAAAUGGACCCUCUGGCCGAGGGGCCACGGCCCCCCUAGGGGGGCCAUUUGGGGCCGAAAAAAAAAAGUGCUCCAAAUCGCUCCGGGGUUGAUCCAGGCGCGCUCUACGGUCGAUUUGGAGGCGAUCGGUGUAUGUACCUCGCCGCCGGCGGACCCCUAUGGACCCUCCAAAAUCGAGUGGUCCC